GACGAACGCUGGCGGCGUGCCUAAUACAUGCAAGUCGAACGCUGAAGGAGGAGCUUGCUUCUCUGGAUGAGUUGCGAACGGGUGAGUAACGCGUAGGUAACCUGCCUGGUAGCGGGGGAUAACUAUUGGAAACGAUAGCUAAUACCGCAUAAGAGUAGAUGUUGCAUGACAUUUGCUUAAAAGGUGCAAUUGCAUCACUACCAGAUGGACCUGCGUUGUAUUAGCUAGUUGGUGGGGUAACGGCUCACCAAGGCGACGAUACAUAGCCGACCUGAGAGGGUGAUCGGCCACACUGGGACUGAGACACGGCCCAGACUCCUACGGGAGGCAGCAGUAGGGAAUCUUCGGCAAUGGACGGAAGUCUGACCGAGCAACGCCGCGGGAGUGAAGAAGGGUUUCGGAUCGUAAAGCUCUGUUGUAAGAGAAGAACGAGUGUGAGAGUGGAAAGUUCACACUGUGACGGUAUCUUACCAGAAAGGGACGGCUAACUACGUG
RNAcentral lists this ribosomal RNA (495 nucleotides) under uncultured bacterium. Its description in RNAcentral is "partial 16S ribosomal RNA". It matches the Rfam family "Bacterial small subunit ribosomal RNA", at positions 28 to 507 of the family's 1533-position model. The record is from RNAcentral.